UUUUAAUAUUUAAGUCAGUUAAACUGAUUUAAAAAGUUUUAUAAUAAUUAAAAUAAAUUGAGACAAUAUUAUUUACUCAUUCCAUUAGAUGAUUUCGCCUCUUUCACAAAAACACAACUACCUCUCCCUCUUGUAUCUCAGAUCUGAAACGAAACCCUAGUCUCUCUCCCUCACAGCGAAUGAACAACGUUCUCCCUCACAUCGAACCACGUUUUCCCUCUCAAACCCUAAGUCGUUCUUCCUCGGUGAAACGCAAAUUAUCUCCCUAUCUGCUAUGAUGAAAUCGAUUACGACGAACUCGUUCUGCUACCACGGUGAAAUUCGUCCUCCGCUUUCAAGGUUAGUUCAAAUUCUCCUCAUUCUUCAAUAGAUAGAUUACGAGCCUAAUUUCUUUUUGUGUGUGGUUAUAAUUCGUUCUCCCCUUUCUAAUUUCAUAUGUGUCGGUGUGUGUUUGUGUUUAUUAUUCCGUUUAUAAUUUUUACUUCCUUUACUUGCUCCUUGCAUUUAUGGCUGCCAUGAAGGGAUAUAAGAUGGUUUUGACCAUGCCCUCUUACACAAGCUUGGAAAGAAGGGUUUGUAUGAGAGCAUUUGCAGCUGAAUUGAUUCUCACUGAUCCAACCAAAGGAAUGGGAGGAACAGUAAAAAAGGCAUACGACCUUUUGGAAUCCACGCCAAAUGCUUACAUGCUGCAACAAUUUUCCAACCCGGCCAAUACUCGGGUAAGGUUUACUCAACUCAACUCAAAUUACUAUUUCUGUUUGAAACAUUGUUUUUCAGUUUGAUUGUUGUCUCUUUUGGUAUCAGUUCCUUCAAAAUUCCGGUGCGUAUUAGCAACAUUGGUAGAGGUCCUGAGUUGCCGGUUGGGUCACGUUAUGUUGUCUCAAAAGUAUGUUAAAUAUCAAAUUCUGCUAGGAAGAGCUUAAUAUGCAACAACAACAAUGUGUUCAUAGCAGUAUAAGGUUUUAUUAUGCAGAUGCAAAAGAAGCUGAGUUUCACUUGAACUAAUAGACUACACUGUUAUGAGUUCAUUGGAAAGGAAAGGAUUGAUUGGGUGUUAUGUCUUGUAAUGAUACUAGUAUUAUAAUAAGGUGUAUGUAGUGGGUGAAUUUACAUGUAUCUUGACAUGAGUUAUUCCUUGUAGGAAUAUGUAGAGGAAUUGGUGUAUAGCAGAAAACUUUGUAACUGAGAUGGAUGAAUCUGAUGAAAUGUUGCGCAGAGGGUUUAAAGAUCAAAUCUAUGAUGUGUAUAGAUAUCUCCCACCAGAUCUUCAGGUGCGGUGUCAGGGAUCUCUUUGUUGAGGCGCUGGUGCUAUUUGGUUUUGUGCUUCUGUUUGCAGACCUGUGUCUCUUUGCUUUAGGUUAGGAUAGUGUAUUGCAGUAUUGGUAGUAGCAUUCUUUAGUUUUGUUAAGAUAUAUUUAAAUCCAUGAUACUUUUGGUAACCUUGUUUCAUGAAUAUUUUGUAAUUGAAUUUAUUUAUAAUUUGGUAUGAAAUUUGAUUCUUUGA
Long non-coding RNA from Trifolium pratense (red clover), 1504 nucleotides. RefSeq lists it as uncharacterized. NCBI's taxonomy places the organism in Eukaryota, Viridiplantae, Streptophyta, Magnoliopsida, Fabales, Fabaceae. The record is from RefSeq and is a predicted model, not a curated record. The transcript is spliced from 3 exons.